GGGUUGUGAGGUUAAGCGACUAAGCGUACACGGUGGAUGCCCUGGCAGUCAGAGGCGAUGAAGGACGUGCUAAUCUGCGAAAAGCGUCGGUAAGGUGAUAUGAACCGUUACAGCCGGCGAUGUCCGAAUGGGGAAACCCAGUGCAAUUCGUUGCACUAUCGUUAACUGAAUACAUAGGUUAACGAGGCGAACCGGGGGAACUGAAACAUCUAAGUACCCCGAGGAAAAGAAAUCAACCGAGAUUCCCCCAGUAGCGGCGAGCGAACGGGGAGCAGCCCAGAGUCUGAAUCAGCUUGUGUGUUAGUGGAACGGUCUGGAAAGUCCGACGGUACAGGGUGAUAGUCCCGUACACCAAAAUGCACAGGCUGUGAACUCGAAGAGUAGGGCGGGACACGUGGUAUCCUGUCUGAAUAUGGGGGGACCAUCCUCCAAGGCUAAAUACUCCUGACUGACCGAUAGUGAACCAGUACCGUGAGGGAAAGGCGAAAAGAACCCCGGCGAGGGGAGUGAAAAAGAACCUGAAACCGUGUACGUACAAGCAGUGGGAGCACCUUCGGGUGUGACUGCGUACCUUUUGUAUAAUGGGUCAGCGACUUAUAUUCUGUAGCAAGGUUAACCGUAUAGGGGAGCCGCAGGGAAACCGAGUCUUAACUGGGCGUUAAGUUGCAGGGUAUAGACCCGAAACCCGGUGAUCUAGCCAUGGGCAGGUUGAAGGUUGGGUAACACUAACUGGAGGACCGAACCGACUAAUGUUGAAAAAUUAGCGGAUGACUUGUGGCUGGGGGUGAAAGGCCAAUCAAACCGGGAGAUAGCUGGUUCUCCCCGAAAGCUAUUUAGGUAGCGCCUCGUGAAUUCAUCUUCGGGGGUAGAGCACUGUUUCGGCUAGGGGGUCAUCCCGACUUACCAACCCGAUGCAAACUACGAAUACCGAAGAAUGUUAUCACGGGAGACACACGGCGGGUGCUAACGUCCGUCGUGAAGAGGGAAACAACCCAGACCGCCAGCUAAGGUCCCAAAGUCAUGGUUAAGUGGGAAACGAUGUGGGAAGGCACAGACAGCCAGGAUGUUGGCUUAGAAGCAGCCAUCAUUUAAAGAAAGCGUAAUAGCUCACUGGUCGAGUCGGCCUGCGCGGAAGAUGUAACGGGGCUAAACCAUGCACCGAAGCUGCGGCAGCGACACUAUGUGUUGUUGGGUAGGGGAGCGUUCUGUAAGCCUGCGAAGGUGUGCUGUGAGGCAUGCUGGAGGUAUCAGAAGUGCGAAUGCUGACAUAAGUAACGAUAAAGCGGGUGAAAAGCCCGCUCGCCGGAAGACCAAGGGUUCCUGUCCAACGUUAAUCGGGGCAGGGUGAGUCGACCCCUAAGGCGAGGCCGAAAGGCGUAGUCGAUGGGAAACAGGUUAAUAUUCCUGUACUUGGUGUUACUGCGAAGGGGGGACGGAGAAGGCUAUGUUAGCCGGGCGACGGUUGUCCCGGUUUAAGCAUGUAGGCUGGUUGUCCAGGCAAAUCCGGAUAAUCAAGGCUGAGGUGUGAUGACGAGGCACUACGGUGCUGAAGUAACAAAUGCCCUGCUUCCAGGAAAAGCCUCUAAGCAUCAGGUAACAUUAAAUCGUACCCCAAACCGACACAGGUGGUCAGGUAGAGAAUACCAAGGCGCUUGAGAGAACUCGGGUGAAGGAACUAGGCAAAAUGGUGCCGUAACUUCGGGAGAAGGCACGCUGGUGUGUAGGUGAAGUCCCUGCGGAUGGAGCUGAGACCAGUCGAAGAUACCAGCUGGCUGCAACUGUUUAUUAAAAACACAGCACUGUGCAAACACGAAAGUGGACGUAUACGGUGUGACGCCUGCCCGGUGCCGGAAGGUUAAUUGAUGGGGUUAUCCGUAAGGAGAAGCUCUUGAUCGAAGCCCCGGUAAACGGCGGCCGUAACUAUAACGGUCCUAAGGUAGCGAAAUUCCUUGUCGGGUAAGUUCCGACCUGCACGAAUGGCGUAAUGAUGGCCAGGCUGUCUCCACCCGAGACUCAGUGAAAUUGAACUCGCUGUGAAGAUGCAGUGUACCCGCGGCAAGACGGAAAGACCCCGUGAACCUUUACUAUAGCUUGACACUGAACAUUGAGCCUUGAUGUGUAGGAUAGGUGGGAGGCUUUGAAGCGUGGACGCCAGUCUGCGUGGAGCCAACCUUGAAAUACCACCCUUUAAUGUUUGAUGUUCUAACGUUGGCCCCUUACCGGGGUUGCGGACAGUGUCUGGUGGGUAGUUUGACUGGGGCGGUCUCCUCCCAAAGCGUAACGGAGGAGCACGAAGGUUAGCUAAUCCUGGUCGGACAUCAGGAGGUUAGUGCAAUGGCAUAAGCUAGCUUGACUGCGAGCGUGACGGCGCGAGCAGGUGCGAAAGCAGGUCAUAGUGAUCCGGUGGUUCUGAAUGGAAGGGCCAUCGCUCAACGGAUAAAAGGUACUCCGGGGAUAACAGGCUGAUACCGCCCAAGAGUUCAUAUCGACGGCGGUGUUUGGCACCUCGAUGUCGGCUCAUCACAUCCUGGGGCUGAAGUAGGUCCCAAGGGUAUGGCUGUUCGCCAUUUAAAGUGGUACGCGAGCUGGGUUUAGAACGUCGUGAGACAGUUCGGUCCCUAUCUGCCGUGGGCGCUGGAGAAUUGAGGGGGCUGCUCCUAGUACGAGAGGACCGGAGUGGACGCAUCACUGGUGUUCGGGUUGUCAUGCCAAUGGCACUGCCCGGUAGCUAAAUGCGGAAGAGAUAAGUGCUGAAAGCAUCUAAGCACGAAACUUGCCCCGAGAUGAGUUCUCCCUGAGACUUUAAGUCUCCUGAAGGAACGUUAAAGACGAUGACGUUGAUAGGCCGGGUGUGUAAGCGCAGCGAUGCGUUGAGCUAACCGGUACUAAUGAACCGUGAGGCUUAACCUUACAACGCCGAAG
Molecule: ribosomal RNA, 2922 nt
Filed under: Klebsiella pneumoniae
Lineage: Bacteria; Pseudomonadati; Pseudomonadota; Gammaproteobacteria; Enterobacterales; Enterobacteriaceae
Description: bacterial LSU rRNA
Rfam family: Bacterial large subunit ribosomal RNA
Source: RNAcentral